This 468-nucleotide ribosomal RNA is filed under the name uncultured bacterium. RNAcentral describes it as "partial 16S ribosomal RNA". It matches the Rfam family "Bacterial small subunit ribosomal RNA", at positions 28 to 507 of the family's 1533-position model. The record is from RNAcentral.
GACGAACGCUGGCGGCGUGCUUAACACAUGCAAGUCGAACGGAAAGGCCCUGCUUUUGUGGGGUGCUCGAGUGGCGAACGGGUGAGUAACACGUGAGUAACCUGCCCUUGACUUUGGGAUAACUUCAGGAAACUGGGGCUAAUACCGGAUAGGAGCUCCUGCUGCAUGGUGGUGGUUGGAAAGUUUCGGCGGUUGGGGAUGGACUCGCGGCUUAUCAGCUUGUUGGUGGGGUAGUGGCUUACCAAGGCUUUGACGGGUAGCCGGCCUGAGAGGGUGACCGGCCACAUUGGGACUGAGAUACGGCCCAGACGCCUACGGGAGGCAGCAGUGGGGAAUAUUGCACAAUGGGCGGAAGCCUGAUGCAGCAACGCCGCGUGCGGGAUGACGGCCUUCGGGUUGUAAACCGCUUUCGCCUGUGACGAAGCGUGAGUGACGGUAAUGGGUAAAGAAGCACCGGCUAACUACGUG